AAAUGACAGCGCAGACCUCACUUUCAUUAUCUCUGUGUUUCUCCUUGUUCUGUUCUCAUCAUUCAUCAGGGUGAUAUUACAGGAUUUUCAUUCACACAGAGCUGAUGUGGAUGUUUCUGCUCCUCGUCGAUUCACUUUUUACAGUCAUCAGACGAGGACAUUGUGAAGCAAGGUGAUAUGUGACAGAUCACAUCUGGAGUAUCAGAGAAGAGAAAAGGGCAUUAAAUGAGAUAUGAACAGCAGAGAGUCUAAAGAAUCACGAGAGAGAAGCCUACCGAAGCAUAUUCGCAGAGACAGCAUGCAGCAAAAACCAAACAUGUGUCUGGAUGCAGACGGACCUGAAGAGUUUCAUUCUGGUGAAUUAGAGACAGUCACAGAUGAGGUGAGAGACUGAUAGAUAGUCUCGUGAAGGAAAAACAACUGAUGUGUGGAGCUG
This 436-nucleotide long non-coding RNA is filed under the name Sinocyclocheilus grahami. RNAcentral describes it as "lncRNA (ENSSGRG00000019980.1)". Lineage: Eukaryota; Metazoa; Chordata; Actinopteri; Cypriniformes; Cyprinidae. The record is from RNAcentral.